This 468-nucleotide ribosomal RNA is filed under the name uncultured bacterium. Its description in RNAcentral is "partial 16S ribosomal RNA". It matches the Rfam family "Bacterial small subunit ribosomal RNA", at positions 28 to 507 of the family's 1533-position model. The record is from RNAcentral.
GACGAACGCUGGCGGCGUGCUUAACACAUGCAAGUCGAACGGAAAGGCCCUGCUUUUGUGGGGUGCUCGAGUGGCGAACGGGUGAGUAACACGUGAGUAACCUGCCCUUGACUUUGGGAUAACUUCAGGAAACUGGGGCUAAUACCGGAUAGGAGCUCCUGCUGCAUGGUGGGGGUUGGAAAGUUUCGGCGGUUGGGGAUGGACUCGCGGCUUAUCAGCUUGUUGGUGGGGUAGUGGCUUACCAAGGCUUUGACGGGUAGCCGGCCUGAGAGGGUGACCGGCCACAUUGGGACUGAGAUACGGCCCAGACUCCUACGGGAGGCAGCAGUGGGGAAUAUUGCACAAUGGGCUGAAGCCUGAUGCAGCGACGCCGCGUGCGGGAUGACGGCCUUCGGGUUGUAAACCGCUUUCGCCUGUGACGAAGCGUUAGUGACGGUAAUGGGUAAAGAAGCACCGGCUAACUACGUG